This 372-nucleotide ribosomal RNA is filed under the name uncultured bacterium. RNAcentral's name for it is "bacterial SSU rRNA". It matches the Rfam family "Bacterial small subunit ribosomal RNA", at positions 524 to 898 of the family's 1533-position model. The record is from RNAcentral.
UACGGAGGUGGCAAGCGUUGUUCGGAUUUACUGGGUGUAAAGGUCAUGUAGGCGUCUCCUUAAGUCGGGUGUGAAAUCCCUUGGCUCAACCAAGGAACUGCAUUCGAUACUGGGGAGAUUGAGUAUAGAAGAGGUAAGCGGAAUUCCGGAAGUAAGGGUGAAAUCUGUAGAUAUCCGGAAGAACACCAUUAGCGAAGGCGGCUUACUGGUCUAAUACUGACGCUGAAAUGAGAAAGCUGGGGGAUCAAACAGGAUUAGAUACCCUGGUAGUCCUAGCUGUAAACGAUGGGCACUAGGUGCAGGUCCGAAAGGAUUUGUGUCGAAGCAAACGCGUUAAGUGCCCCACCUGGGGACUACGGUCGCAAGGCUAAA